Long non-coding RNA from Aegilops tauschii subsp. strangulata, 897 nucleotides. RefSeq lists it as uncharacterized. The record is from RefSeq and is a predicted model, not a curated record. Lineage: Eukaryota; Viridiplantae; Streptophyta; Magnoliopsida; Poales; Poaceae.
GAUUCACUCUCCUUCUCUAACUUUCUCGAAUCUCCGUGCUCAUUCCACACCUCCACCAUUCCCCCAUCUCCCUAGUGCAUUUGUUGCUCUCGCCGCCGACUCGAGCCGCCCCAGCGUGGCUCAUCCGUCUCCUCUCCACUAGCAGUAGGAUUCGAUGCUCCUCACCAGCGCAACAUGCGUCGGCGAGGCACCCCCUUCGCCGGCUCCUCGCCUGCGCAGCACGCGUUGGUGAGGAAUCGAUUCCACUCGAAGCAGAGGGCGGUCUGGAGAGGGAGAAGCCGGCGGAGGAGGUGAGGAGCUCGAUUGAGUAGGAGGAAGCGAGGCUGCGAGAGAGGCGGAGGAGAAGAGGAAGCAGCGGGGCAGGGUGUGGCGGUGGCAAAAGCUCCGGGAUGCUCGCCAUUGGGCAUUGAUGGCGGCAAGAGCUAGCUAGGCACGGCAAGUCCCGAUGAGGUUCAUCGUCCACGCGAUUCAUAUCCUGCAGGCUGGUCUCAUCGAUUGAUUCUCUCCUCUCGGGCUUCACCAAGGUCAUCGUCGACAUUCUAGCUAAACUAAUCGACCAUACGUGCAGCCCAGCCCGCGGUUCGACAUGGGACUUCGUUUGCUUCGUCUAGCACUUCUGCAUCAUGAGCCUUGUAAAUAUGGCCGCCAUGCUCUUUCUUCCUCUGUCUAGGUCUCCGUCUAAAAAGAAAAAUAGAGCUAUAAACAAAGGAAUAUGUUUGUGCAAGUAGACGGCCGAUCGGUGUCUUACCUGGAAGUUUCUCAGGAUGGGUGUAUCAUAUGUCAUGCUCGCUGUCAAUGGUUGGUAUGAACAAAUUGAUGAGAGGGUGAGAUCUCGCGUUGUCAGCACUCACUUUGGCCUCAAGUUGCUCGAUCAGCUCCUGAUCCGUGGGAUCGAAC